CGGAGAUAUCUUUCUCUUUUUCUAACGACCAUCACAGCAUCUUUGGUUCAUUAUCGGUUCUACUUUUUCAAAUAAAAGAUAAUACUGAAAAUGAGAUGUGAAAAUCAUUAAAAACACUAUUUUUACUGGAAAAAAAGAAAAAUUUCUAUUUAAUUUUUCCCUUCUGUUUAUAUACAGAGAGGUAAAUAAAUAAAAGUUGGAUAGAAUGAAUGGUUCUAUUUGGUAUGUAAAUAAAAGAUUUUUAUAAUAAAGUUUUGAAUAUGAGAUAUAAAAAUAUUUUUAAAUAAAUUUUGUGACAUCAUCAAGAGGAAAAUAUGUAUGUAGUUUUAGUAUAUUUGGAUGGAAUUAAAGAUGAAUAAAUAAUUGAUGAAUAAAUAAUUCGUGAAAAAAAGUUUAGAAAAAAAAUGUGUGUGCUGACUUUAGAAAGAGAUAAGAACGUUAAAUUGACGUCAGUAGCUGCUGAAAUAUUUAUAAAUUUUUUAAGGAAUUUAGUGAAAAAAUAUAAAUUACAAAUUUGGAGUUAAUAAUUGAUCAAAUUGUAACAAAUGUUUUGAAUGAUUGCCACAAUUUAUUUGAUCGAAUUCAAAUCAAUAACAAUAAACGGUUACUCACACGAUAAUAAAAAAAUACCACAUACUCAAACAACACCAGAGGCAUUUUUUUUUACAUCAUAAUCGAAGAAGAAUUUAUUGUUUUCCGUUAAACGAAAAAUUCAUCAGCCAUAGAUACACAAAUAAACAACAAUAACUAAAAUAUCUAUUGUUAUGGACAAUAAAAAUAAAAUGCAAAAUGUGUGUACUAUUAUGUCGAAUAUCAUUGACAUGAGAGAUUGAUAAAUUUCCAUAAAAAAA
Chelonus insularis is the source of this 851-nucleotide long non-coding RNA. RefSeq lists it as uncharacterized. Lineage: Eukaryota; Metazoa; Arthropoda; Insecta; Hymenoptera; Braconidae. The record is from RefSeq and is a predicted model, not a curated record. The transcript is spliced from 2 exons.